Molecule: ribosomal RNA, 252 nt
Filed under: uncultured bacterium
Lineage: Bacteria
Description: partial 16S ribosomal RNA
Rfam family: Bacterial small subunit ribosomal RNA
Source: RNAcentral
UACGGAGGAUGCGAGCGUUAUCCGGAUCUAUUGGGUUUAAAGGGUGCGUAGGCGGGAUGCCAAGUCAGCGGUAAAAAUGCGGUGCUCAACGCCGUCGAGCCGUUGAAACUGGCGUUCUUGAGUGGGCGAGAAGUAUGCGGAAUGCGUGGUGUAGCGGUGAAAUGCGUAGAUAUCACGCAGAACUCCGAUUGCGAAGGCAGCAUACCGGCGCCCUACUGACGCUGAGGCACGAAAGCGUGGGUAUCGAACAGG